CCGUUCUCAACAGUUGAGUUGAACGCAGGGUC
This 32-nucleotide non-coding RNA is filed under the name Homo sapiens (human). The record is from RNAcentral. Lineage: Eukaryota; Metazoa; Chordata; Mammalia; Primates; Hominidae.